GCGCACGGGGGGCGGGGCGCGCUCUAUAAAGGGGGGCGCUGCAGGCCGCGGGGGCCACUCGAAGCCGGCGGGGUCUGCGCUACCUCUUUGCGGUCCCGGGCACACCGUGCGCUUACCACCAGCAUCCUACAGUCCUUGGGGACCAGUCCAGGAUCGGAUUUCCAAGCUUGCUACCCUACGCGCACCUCGGCCAUCUCCCGGCUCCGAGGGCGAUUGGGUAGCCGAGCGUUGGGGGCGCAUCUCGGCCAGCUGCACCUUGGCCUGAAGGCAGGAUGCAAGGAGCGAGGGCAGGCGGCGAGACCCCUUGGGUCCAGAGCUGGCCGAGCUGGACGAGCUGGCGGGGCUCCCAGCGUCUCCGCAGUCCCGGUCGGGCGUGCCCUGCGCUGUGCACCAACCGGAGCCACAUUCAAGGUGAAUCAUCCCCGGCCCGCCCCCUGCCCCUCCCCCGCCUCUCGGCACCUGAGCCAAUGGCGUGGCGCAGGGGGCGGGCGGGGCUCAGGGGGCCGUGAACCUCCCAGAGUCAUUAUCCCUGCACUCGGUGUAGCCCCUGCACCUCUGUGCUGGAGCCCGUGAGCCUCUCUCAGGCCGCGCCGUCCAGGGCACCCUGCGCACGGUUUUCCCGGGCUCCGGGGUCCCCUUGCCUCUCUUACCCUACCCCGCCAGGCCCGCGGAGGCUGCUCCUCCUCAGGUGGCCCGGCCGGGGCCUUCCCCCCGCAGACCUGUCACCCGACACCCAGGAAGCGCGCGGCCCCAUCCCGGCUCCUCUUUGUUCCCCCGCCGGGCUCCGCGCUCGGGCGCCGCCUCCUCCAGCGUCGCGCUCUGGAGGUUCUGGGCGCCGCCUUCGGGGCGGCCCGGGAGCUCCUUGGGUUCCGUCCAUAGGCCCGCUCCGAACCAGGGUGUCCUUUUUGCCUUGUUUCUCCGAUGUGGACUCCUCUCGGAGCUAGGAGGCGGCGGCGAGCCCAGCCCGGAGCCGGCGCAGGUGAGUGUCCGGGGCGGGGCCAAGUGGGGCCAGCGGCGGGCCGGGAAAGGAAGGUGGACUCGGGCGCCCCGGGGCGAGCGGUGCUAGAUCCGAGUUGCGGGCAGGUGGCCGCGCAGGUCGGCCUUCGGGAAUGACGCGGCAGUGCGGCCUCCUGGCUCUUAGGCGCCUUCCAGCGGAGUCGCCCACGAGGCCCCGUGAUCCAGGGGUCCCCCAGCGGACCCUGCUGUGCGCCCAGGGCUGUGCCCUGCAGUUGGGGCGGCAGCGCGGCUUGAGUGCGGCUGGGGUUUAGCGAGGUGCUUAUCCACGGUGGCCCACGCACCUCCGUGGGGAAUCGAGCUGGGGUCGCGUCGGCGUUUCGCCGCCCUGGUGGGCUCGGAUGGAAGCGCAAGGCUGGGAGGAGGGCUGCAAACCGGCGCAGGGAGGGAGUUCCUG
Bos indicus x Bos taurus (hybrid cattle) is the source of this 1411-nucleotide long non-coding RNA. Lineage: Eukaryota; Metazoa; Chordata; Mammalia; Artiodactyla; Bovidae. The record is from Ensembl.